Molecule: ribosomal RNA, 253 nt
Filed under: uncultured Eubacteriales bacterium
Lineage: Bacteria; Bacillati; Bacillota; Clostridia; Eubacteriales
Description: uncultured Clostridiales bacterium partial 16S ribosomal RNA
Rfam family: Bacterial small subunit ribosomal RNA
Source: RNAcentral
UACGGAGGAUGCGAGCGUUAUCCGGAUUUAUUGGGUUUAAAGGGUGCGCAGGCGGCCUGUUAAGUCAGCGGUAAAAGCCCAGGGCUCAACCCUGGGACUGCUUUUGAAACUGCCGGGCUGGAGUGCAGGAGAGGUAAGCGGAAUUCCUAGUGUAGCGGUGAAAUGCGUAGAUAUUAGGAGGAACACCAGUGGCGAAGGCGGCUUACUGGACUGUAACUGACGUUGAGGCUCGAAAGUGCGGGUAUCAAACAGG